Molecule: ribosomal RNA, 790 nt
Filed under: Staphylococcus aureus
Lineage: Bacteria; Bacillati; Bacillota; Bacilli; Caryophanales; Staphylococcaceae
Description: bacterial SSU rRNA
Rfam family: Bacterial small subunit ribosomal RNA
Source: RNAcentral
AUUUAGUUUUUUUUUUUUUUGGGGUUUUUUUUCUAGGAUGAACGCUGGCGGCGUGCCUAAUACAUGCAAGUCGAGCGAACGGACGAGAAGCUUGCUUCUCUGAUGUUAGCGGCGGACGGGUGAGUAACACGUGGAUAACCUACCUAUAAGACUGGGAUAACUUCGGGAAACCGGAGCUAAUACCGGAUAAUAUUUUGAACCGCAUGGUUCAAAAGUGAAAGACGGUCUUGCUGUCACUUAUAGAUGGAUCCGCGCUGCAUUAGCUAGUUGGUAAGGUAACGGCUUACCAAGGCAACGAUGCAUAGCCGACCUGAGAGGGUGAUCGGCCACACUGGAACUGAGACACGGUCCAGACUCCUACGGGAGGCAGCAGUAGGGAAUCUUCCGCAAUGGGCGAAAGCCUGACGGAGCAACGCCGCGUGAGUGAUGAAGGUCUUCGGAUCGUAAAACUCUGUUAUUAGGGAAGAACAUAUGUGUAAGUAACUGUGCACAUCUUGACGGUACCUAAUCAGAAAGCCACGGCUAACUACGUGCCAGCAGCCGCGGUAAUACGUAGGUGGCAAGCGUUAUCCGGAAUUAUUGGGCGUAAAGCGCGCGUAGGCGGUUUUUUAAGUCUGAUGUGAAAGCCCACGGCUCAACCGUGGAGGGUCAUUGGAAACUGGAAAACUUGAGUGCAGAAGAGGAAAGUGGAAUUCCAUGUGUAGCGGUGAAAUGCGCAGAGAUAUGGAGGAACACCAGUGGCGAAGGCGACUUUCUGGUCUGUAACUGACGCUGAUGUCGAAAGGAAGCG